Molecule: ribosomal RNA, 274 nt
Filed under: uncultured bacterium
Lineage: Bacteria
Description: partial 16S ribosomal RNA
Rfam family: Bacterial small subunit ribosomal RNA
Source: RNAcentral
GACGAACGCUGGCGGCGUGCUUAACACAUGCAAGUGGAGCGGUAAGGCCCUUUCGGGGGUACGACGAGCGGCGAACGGGUGAGUAACACGUGGGUGACCUGCCCUUAGCUCUGGGAUAAGCCUGGGAAACUGGGUCUAAUACCGGAUAUGACUCCAUGACGCAUGUUGGUGGGGUGGAAAGCCUUGUGCGGCUAGGGAUGGGCCCGCGCCUAUCAGCUUGUUGGUGGGGUGAUGGCCCACCAAGGCGACGACGGGUAGCCGGCCUGAGAGGGCG